Non-coding RNA from Paramuricea clavata, 333 nucleotides. Lineage: Eukaryota; Metazoa; Cnidaria; Anthozoa; Malacalcyonacea; Plexauridae. The record is from the annotation of a GenBank genome assembly.
AACCCUGCUAGUAGUAUUGUAUGUUGUAUAACUUUUGGUAGGACCUAGUUCAGUAGUUAGCGAUAAUAAUUGGUGUAUGACAACGGUACAAUCCUUGUGAUUAUUGCCAUCUUGUAAAAGUACUUUAUGAUUAAAUAAUAAAUAGUGUGUAAGACAUAGUGUUUUAGCCAUAAUUAUAUAUUUGUCCUGUUCUUUGUAAUAUUGUAGUAAUUUAUGUAAUAAUCCGAGCACGGCCUAUACCACAAUAGUAGUUUUAAACCGUGGGUAAAUAAUGUUUUCAUCAUUAAUAAAUAUUUUACAGCCAAAAUUUCUCGCGUAAUAUGUAGUUUCUGG